This 445-nucleotide ribosomal RNA is filed under the name uncultured bacterium. RNAcentral's name for it is "partial 16S ribosomal RNA". It matches the Rfam family "Bacterial small subunit ribosomal RNA", at positions 354 to 796 of the family's 1533-position model. The record is from RNAcentral.
GUGAGGAAUAUUGGUCAAUGGACGGAAGUCUGAACCAGCCAUGCCGCGUGCAGGAAUAAGGUCCUAUGGAUUGUAAACUGCUUUUAUUCGGGAAUAAACCUCUUUACGUGUAGGGAGCUGAAGGUACCGAAGGAAUAAGCACCGGCUAACUCCGUGCCAGCAGCCGCGGUAAUACGGAGGGUGCAAGCGUUAUCCGGACUCAUUGGGUUUAAAGGGUCCGCAGGCGGGCUAUCAAGUCAGAGGUGAAAUCCCACAGCUUAACUGAGGAACUGCCGUUGAAACUGAUGGUCUUGAAGUAAGUGGGCGUUGGCGGAAUAUGACAUGUAGCGGUGAAAUGCAUAGAUAUGUCAUGGAACACCGAAAGCGAAGGGAGCUAACGAUACUUAUAUUGACGCUCAUGGACGAAAGCGUGGGUAGCGAACAGGAUUAGAAACCCCGGUAGUCC